RNAcentral lists this long non-coding RNA (229 nucleotides) under Elaeis guineensis (African oil palm). RNAcentral's name for it is "long non-coding RNA (EGUI_LNC074073)". Lineage: Eukaryota; Viridiplantae; Streptophyta; Magnoliopsida; Arecales; Arecaceae. The record is from RNAcentral.
UUUCAGACUUUCUCCUAUCUCGAUCGACUUUACUCCGAGCUUCUUUCAGACUUCAUUAAUGUCUGGACUUCUCCAGCAGUAGGACUUCUACAGUAACCAGACUCCAUCCAAGUUUCUACAGUGGUCGAUCGUCUUUCGAAUUUCAUCCGAGCUUCUACAGUAAGCGAAUUCCGUCCGAACUUCUAUUGCAAGCGGACUUCAACCGAGCUUCUACAAUUAGCGAUCUCCA